AUAUUACUAAGCGGAGGAGAAGAAAUUAACAAAGAUUGCCUUAGUAAGGGCGGCUGAACCGGCAAGAGCUCGAAAUUGGAAUCGGAGAUUCAAAGAAUCUUCGAAUUGUAAUCUGACUCGCCGAAAUACGUAAGAACAUUUAAAUACGUCGAAACGUAUGCCAUAGAGGGUGAAAGCCCCGUGUAGUGUUUUUACGAAACAGGGGAGUCUAAAAAGAGUCGGGUUGCUUGGAACUGCAGCCCUAAGUGGGAGAUAUGAAUCUUCCAAAGCUAAAUAUGGAUGGGAGACCGAUAGCGCACAAGUA
RNAcentral lists this ribosomal RNA (304 nucleotides) under uncultured eukaryote. Its description in RNAcentral is "partial large subunit ribosomal RNA". It matches the Rfam family "Eukaryotic large subunit ribosomal RNA", at positions 40 to 350 of the family's 3401-position model. The record is from RNAcentral.